RNAcentral lists this ribosomal RNA (285 nucleotides) under uncultured bacterium. RNAcentral's name for it is "partial 16S ribosomal RNA". The record is from RNAcentral.
UUACCGCGGCUGCUGGCACGGAGUUAGCCGGUGCUUCUUCUGUAGGUUACGUCAAGACUCACGGUUAUUAACCGUAGGCUUUUCUUCUCUACUGAAAGUGCUUUACAACCCGCAGGCCUUCUUCACACACGCGGCAUUGCUGGAUCAGGCUUGCGCCCAUCGUCCAAUAUUCCCCACUGCUGCCUCCCGUAGGAAGCCGAAUUCCAGCACACUGGCGGCCGUUACUAGUGGAUCCGAGCUCGGUACCAAGCUUGGCGUAAUCAUGGUCAUAGCUGUUUCCUGUGA